UUUUUUUUUUUUUUUUUAUCUUAAAGAUUUUGUUUAAUUCAUAAGUACAUGAAUACUGAAUAAUUUAAUAAGUUUGUAUCUUCAUAUAACUAAUUGUAACUAAAAACAAAAUAAAAUAAGUCUUCAUACCUUGUUUAUAUAAAGCUAACAUUAAUAAAAAUUGUUUUUAUAAUAACUUUUGUUAUAUUAUAUUAUAUAUAGUUAUAGUUUGGUUCAUAUGUAAUAAUGUGAAUAUGUUUGUUAGUAAUUACUUAGCUUGAAAAGUAACUUGAAUUGUAAACUUUAAUGUUCCUAGAGUAAGUACAAAAGUCAGUGUAGUUCAUUAUAAAUUAAUCUCAAGUAAAUAAUGUAAAAGGGAAGGAUGUUAUAUACAUGUUAGUCGAUGGUUAAAUAUUGUCUACAGUUUAUAGUUUAUGGUAUGACAUUAAUCUAGAGACUUCGGUAGAACUACAGAGUGAGCACUGACUGUAGGAUUAAGCUUGUACCUAAUGUAAGUUUAAUUAAAACUAAUAAAUCUCUUGAAGACACUAAGGAUGUUUAAUUUAAUAAACACAUAACAGU
Molecule: unclassified non-coding RNA, 561 nt
Filed under: Melitaea cinxia (Glanville fritillary)
Lineage: Eukaryota; Metazoa; Arthropoda; Insecta; Lepidoptera; Nymphalidae
Description: misc RNA ENSMCXG00005014422.1
Source: RNAcentral